CGGCUCAAUCUAAUUCGUAGCCUGGAACCACAGAAUUUUAAGUUCACAGGCUGUGGCACCCACGCCGCCACACCUCCCCUAAAGCCCGGAGAAAUAGCGGUUCCGGGCAAGGGCCUUCUGCAGCCGCUUGGGAAGCCGGCUUCUCGCAGCCUGAAACUCCGCAGUGAACACAUUCUCGCGAGACUAGCGGUCUGGGCUAGUGGGCCUGGAGGUUCCCGGAAGUGGACGAGAGGCAGGUCCACUCCCACCUAAACCAGUGCUCGCCUCGCCCGGUCUAAUCUGGGCCUCUGGGGGACCCGCGCGAGGUGGAGUCUCGGAGACGCUCCCCGCUGGUCUCCGGGUGCUGGCGCCACCUCCCCUCCCUUUGCCCUUCACCACGCCCUGCCCUCCCUGGGCUGCGGCGUUUCUCUACGGCUGGGCAGCCGGCCUGUCCCCUUUUGCUUGCCUUCCCGUGCCCUCCCCAGAAUAGCGCCAGACCCGGGGUUUCCCAGAUGUCGCCUGUAUAACUUGCUCACCGGGUAACUCAUUUGAUUUUGGAGUUCCUUUAAUUCUUCUGAAAGAUUUCAAAGCCUCCAGAAUCCAAAAUGGGACACGGUAAACAGAUUAGAAUUUUACUACUGAACGAAAUGGAAAAGCUGGAAAAGACCCUCUUCAGACUUGAACAAGCCAUCUCAUGUGUUACCCCCAAUGCCAACCCUCCUCUUCUUCCAACUUGGUGUGGCACUUAAGAUCACCAAGUACUUACUCCAUUUUUGGCUUUCCUGACUCUGCACUUUUCUGGUUUUGACUAUUUUUUCCUCUUUUCCCUCUUAAUAUUCCUGUCAACUUAAUGUGUCUCACUGGACUCCCUUCUACAUUUUAAUUAAUUGCAAGUAUCUGCUAGGAAUCCUUUUUUUCU
RNAcentral lists this long non-coding RNA (898 nucleotides) under Ictidomys tridecemlineatus (thirteen-lined ground squirrel). RNAcentral describes it as "lncRNA (ENSSTOG00000031387.1)". The record is from RNAcentral. Lineage: Eukaryota; Metazoa; Chordata; Mammalia; Rodentia; Sciuridae.